This 460-nucleotide ribosomal RNA is filed under the name uncultured bacterium. Its description in RNAcentral is "partial 16S ribosomal RNA". It matches the Rfam family "Bacterial small subunit ribosomal RNA", at positions 338 to 795 of the family's 1533-position model. The record is from RNAcentral.
CCUACGGGUGGCAGCAGUGAGGAAUAUUGGUCAAUGGACGAGAGUCUGAACCAGCCAAGUAGCGUGAAGGAUGACUGCUCUAUGGGUUGUAAACUUCUUUUAUAUAGGAAUAAAAUGUUCUACGUGUGUGCUUCUGUAUGUACCAUACGAAUAAGGAUCGGCUAACUCCGUGCCAGCAGCCGCGGUAAUACGGAGGAUCCGAGCGUUAUCCGGAUUUAUUGGGUUUAAAGGGUGCGUAGGUGGAUUGUUAAGUCAGUUGUGAAAGUUUGCGGCUCAACCGUAGAAUUGCAGUUGAAACUGGCAGUCUUGAGUGCAGUAGAGGUAGGCGGAAUGCGUGGUGUAGCGGUGAAAUGCUUAGAGAUCACGCAGAACUCCGAUUGCGAAGGCAGCUCACUAGACUGCAACUGACACUGAGGCUCGAAAGUGUGGGUAUCAAACAGGAUUAGAUACCCUGGUAGUC